CAGGGAGACAACAAAAUGUUUAAUAUUAUUAUUUUGUCACCUUAGGUCGAUCGGUAUCUCACGUUUUUAAUUUAUUAAGAAUUUCAUUUCCUAAGUUUUUCUAGGUCACACCCAUUAUUUUUCCUGGGCCAUUAGCUCAGGUGGUUAGAGCGCACCCCUGAUAAGGGUGAGGUCCCUGGUUCAAGUCCAGGAUGGCCCAUAUCUCUAUGUUGGGGGUAUAGCUCAGUUGGUAGAGCGCCUGCUUUGCAAGCAGGAUGUCAGCGGUUCGAGUCCGCUUACCUCCACUGAUCACCACCUCUUCCAUAAUCGGUAGAAAGGAAAUUUUUUGAGUUGUGAUCAAAUUCUGAAAGAAUCUAGCUUCCUAAUGAAAUCAUUAAGAUGCUGGACUCAUUGAAUUAAUUUCAUUGUUUUCAGAGAACCUUGACAACUGCAUAGAUUAUUUUUAAAGACAAUAAGCAUCUUUAAUGAUGCAGAUUUAUUAUUUGUGCAAAUGCAUUAAAUAACAAUUCUAUUAAGCUGAUGCUUCAAUAUUUGAAGUUAUU
Molecule: transfer RNA, 542 nt
Filed under: uncultured Prochlorococcus sp.
Lineage: Bacteria; Bacillati; Cyanobacteriota; Cyanophyceae; Synechococcales; Prochlorococcaceae
Description: partial 16S-23S ribosomal RNA intergenic spacer
Rfam family: tRNA (bases 212-284)
Source: RNAcentral